AGUGGCGGACGGGUGAGUAACGCGUGAGAAUCUGCCUUGGGGUCGGGGACAACCACUGGAAACGGUGGCUAAUACCGGAUAGGCCGAUUGGUGAAAGAUUUAUUGCCCGAAGAGGAGCUCGCGUCUGAUUAGCUAGUUGGUGAGGUAAGAGCUCACCAAGGCAGCGAUCAGUAGCUGGUCUGAGAGGACGAUCAGCCACACUGGGACUGAGACACGGCCCAGACUCCUACGGGAGGCAGCAGUGGGGAAUUUUCCGCAAUGGGCGAAAGCCUGACGGAGCAAGACCGCGUGAGGGAGGAAGGCUCUUGGGUUGUAAACCUCUUUUCUCAGGGAAGAAGCUCUGACGGUACCUGAGGAAUCAGCCUCGGCUAACUCCGUGCCAGCAGCCGCGGUAAUACGGAGGAGGCAAGCGUUAUCCGGAAUUAUUGGGCGUAAAGCGUCCGCAGGUGGCGAUUCAAGUCUGCUGUCAAAGCACGGGGCUUAACUCCGUAAAGGCAGUGGAAACUGAAUAGCUAGAGUGCCGUAGGGGUAGAGGGAAUUCCCGGUGUAGCGGUGAAAUGCGUAGAGAUCGGGAAGAACAUCGGUGGCGAAAGCGCUCUACUGGACGGCAACUGACACUCAGGGACGAAAGCUAGGGGAGCGAAUGGGAUUAGAUACCCC
Molecule: ribosomal RNA, 660 nt
Filed under: uncultured bacterium
Lineage: Bacteria
Description: bacterial SSU rRNA
Rfam family: Bacterial small subunit ribosomal RNA
Source: RNAcentral